GUUGACAUAGUUUAACCUAAAACUUUAGAUUGUGAUUCUAACAACAGGGGUUAAAAUCCCCUUGUCAACC
Molecule: transfer RNA, 70 nt
Filed under: Synchiropus sycorax (ruby dragonet)
Lineage: Eukaryota; Metazoa; Chordata; Actinopteri; Syngnathiformes; Callionymidae
Description: tRNA-His
Rfam family: tRNA
About the family: Transfer RNA (tRNA) molecules are approximately 80 nucleotides in length. Their secondary structure includes four short double-helical elements and three loops (D, anti-codon, and T loops). Further hydrogen bonds mediate the characteristic L-shaped molecular structure. tRNAs have two regions of fundamental functional importance: the anti-codon, which is responsible for specific mRNA codon recognition, and the 3' end, to which the tRNAs corresponding amino acid is attached (by aminoacyl-tRNA synthetases). tRNAs cope with the degeneracy of the genetic code in two manners: having more than one tRNA (with a specific anti-codon) for a particular amino acid; and 'wobble' base-pairing, i.e. permitting non-standard base-pairing at the 3rd anti-codon position.
Source: RNAcentral